AUCACAUAAUGUAUGUAUAUUACAUUCUGUACGUUGAUACCACGUAAUUUAAAUUUGAAUUGCAUCAGGAUUUUCUUUUGCUUGUUGUUGAAGUGUGUAACACCGAUUCAGUACAAUUUUUCUAACAUUAAUACCUUAAAUAUAAUUAAAUUAGAAUUUUCUGUAACAAAAUUCUAUUGUACUUAUUUCAUUCAAGAAAUGUAAUUCUAUGCAAACCAAUCUGUAUUUUGACUUAGCACACGUGCAUCGUUCACAUGUAUAACCUACAAUAAUUUUUCGAUUAUAAGCUUUAAAAAUAAUAUUGUAUGAACGAGAAAAGUGUUUGUUUAUUUAUGUCAACUUUCAGAUAAUGCACACUCAAAAAGGAAUUCAAGAAACUGAUGUAUAUAGAUAAUACUUGCACGUUUGAAUUUUUUAUUAUAUAUCAAUUUACACGUUCUCAUAUUUAGAUAAAACACAAUUGUAAUAUUAUAAUUUAAUUUCAGAACUUGGUAGCAUAUAAAGAUAGGCAAAAUGGUCUCUCAAAUAUUUGAUGAAUCUCCUAAAGAAAUGCAGUUAUUAAGUUCAGAUGAUGAAUCUCAAAAUAAUAAGCAAGAUAUUAAGCAAGUUAGUAAUGUCGAAAAAGUACAAAUGAAAAAGCAACUUGGUCUUUUAGAAGGAGUUGCAAUAAUAUUGGGAAUUAUAUGUGGUUCAGGUAUUUUCAUUUCACCAAAGGGUAUAAUCACAGAAGUGGGAAGUGUUGGAGUAUCUUUAAUUGUAUGGAUUUUAUGUGGCUUACUUUCAAUGGUUGGGGCAUUAUGCUAUGCUGAAUUAGGAACUUGCAUACCUCGUAGUGGUGGUGAUUAUGCUUAUAUUUAUGAAGCUUUUGGAGCAUUACCUGCAUUUUUGUACUUAUGGGCUGCUAAUUUAAUUUUUAUCCCAACUACAAAUGCGAUUAUGGGAUUAACUUUUGCUCAGUAUGUGUUACAACCAUUCUUUCCAAACUGCACUAUUCCAGAUGGUGGUAUACGCUUACUAGCAGCUGUAACUAUUUGUUUGCUUACAUUUGCAAACUGUUAUGAUGUCAAGGAAACAUCAAAAAUGCAAAAUGUAUUUAUGUUUGCUAAAAUUGGUGCACUGGUAAUUAUAAUUAUUGCUGGACUGGUUUGGAUACUACUAGGGAACACAGAAAAUUUUGAGAAUGCUUUUGAAAACACGAUUACAGAACCGGGUAAAAUUGCAGUGGCCUUUUAUUCUGGAAUAUUCUCAUAUUCUGGAUGGAAUUACUUAAAUUUCAUGACUGAAGAAUUAAAAGAUCCUUAUGUAAAUUUGCCUCGUGCUAUAUAUAUAUCAUUGCCUUUAGUUACUUUCAUUUAUGUACUGGCAAAUGUAGCUUAUUUAUCAGUUUUAACACCAACUGAAAUGAUUGCUUCUCAUGCAAUCGCUGUGACUUUUGGAGACCAACUUCUUGGUAUAAUGGCAUGGACGAUACCUGUGAUGGUAGCUAUAUCUGCAUUUGGAGGAUUAAGUGUUCACAUUAUGACAUCCUCCCGAAUGUGUUUUGUAGGUGCUAGAAACGGUCAUUUUCCUUCAAUGUUAAGUCAUAUUAAUGUCUCGAGACUUACGCCUACACCUGCCUUAGUUUUUCUGUGUUUCUUGUCUUUAGUAAUGCUAUGUACAAGUGAUAUUUUUGUAUUAAUUACAUACUGCAGCAUAGUUGAAUCAUUUUUCAUCAUGUUAUCCGUCGCUGGUGUAUUAUGGCUCCGUUACAAACAACCUAAAAUGUCUCGACCAAUUAAGAUGCCUUUGUGGAUUCCUAUUACAUUUGUGGCUAUAUGUGCAUUUUUAGUAUUUGUUCCUUGUUAUGAAAGACCAUAUGAAGUUGGUAUUGGGGCUUUAAUAACUUUAUCUGGUGUUCCAGCUUAUUAUUUUGGUGUUAAAUGGAACAAUAAACCUUUAUGGUUUCAGCAACUUAAUCUUGAAAUUACCCACACUGUACAAAAGUUAUUUAUGUCUGCCACUGAAGAACGUGAUUAUUAAAUUUAAUUAUUAUAGAUUUUUAAAUAAUUCAAAUAGUAUAAAAUUUCAGUCUUCUAUUGCAAUUUCCAAGUGUUUAUAGUAACCUUGGCGUUACUAACAGUUACCACAGAACUGUGUUCUAUGUAAACAGAAGUUUACAAUGUGCAUGAACGACCAAAAAUUUACACGUUUUUUGAGUAUGAAGAUCUGUUUUUCAUAAGUAUUAAUUUGUUUAUUAUACUUUAUUUAUUAUGCCGAAGAAAUAUUAAAAAAUAAAUAGUGUGAUUUUUUGAUAACUUACAAAUUCAUUGAAUGCUAUAUGGACCUCAGUUAAAUAUAAUUUUAAAGUAAAGAUGCGCUUCAAACUUUGUUAAAUAAUUG
Megachile rotundata (alfalfa leafcutting bee) is the source of this 2379-nucleotide unclassified non-coding RNA. NCBI's taxonomy places the organism in Eukaryota, Metazoa, Arthropoda, Insecta, Hymenoptera, Megachilidae. The record is from RefSeq and is a predicted model, not a curated record.